ACGAACGCUGGCGGCGUGCUUAACACAUGCAAGUCGAACGGAAAGGCCCUGCUUGCAGGGUACUCGAGUGGCGAACAGGUGAGUAACACGUGGGUGAUCUGCCCUGCACUUCGGGAUAAGCCUGGGAAACUGGGUCUAAUACCGGAUAGGAGCCAUUUUUAGUGUGAUGGUUGGAAAGUUUUUUCGGUGUAGGAUGAGCUCGCGGCCUAUCAGCUUGUUGGUGGGGUAAUGGCCUACCAAGGCGGCGACGGGUAGCCGGCCUGAGAGGGUGGACGGCCACAUUGGGACUGAGAUACGGCCCAGACUCCUACGGGAGGCAGCAGUGGGGAAUAUUGCACAAUGGGCGCAAGCCUGAUGCAGCGACGCCGCGUGGGGGAUGACGGCCUUCGGGUUGUAAACUCCUUUCGCUAGGGACGAAGCUUUUUGUGACGGUACCUAGAGAAGAAGCACCGGCUAACUACGUG
RNAcentral lists this ribosomal RNA (464 nucleotides) under uncultured bacterium. RNAcentral describes it as "partial 16S ribosomal RNA". It matches the Rfam family "Bacterial small subunit ribosomal RNA", at positions 29 to 507 of the family's 1533-position model. The record is from RNAcentral.